GAUGAACGCUGGCGGCGUGCCUAAUACAUGCAAGUCGAGCGAACAGACGAGGAGCUUGCUCCUCUGACGUUAGCGGCGGACGGGUGAGUAACACGUGGAUAACCUACCUAUAAGACUGGGAUAACUUCGGGAAACCGGAGCUAAUACCGGAUAAUAUAUUGAACCGCAUGGUUCAAUAGUGAAAGACGGUUUUGCUGUCACUUAUAGAUGGAUCCGCGCCGCAUUAGCUAGUUGGUAAGGUAACGGCUUACCAAGGCAACGAUGCGUAGCCGACCUGAGAGGGUGGUCGGCCACACUGGAACUGAGACACGGUCCAGACUCCUACGGGAGGCAGCAGUAGGGAAUCUUCCGCAAUGGGCGAAAGCCUGACGGAGCAACGCCGCGUGAGUGAUGAAGGUCUUCGGAUCGUAAAACUCUGUUAUUAGGGAAGAACAAAUGUGUAAGUAACUAUGCACGCCUUGACGGUACCUAAUCAGAAAGCCACGGCUAACUACGUG
This 497-nucleotide ribosomal RNA is filed under the name uncultured bacterium. RNAcentral's name for it is "partial 16S ribosomal RNA". It matches the Rfam family "Bacterial small subunit ribosomal RNA", at positions 28 to 507 of the family's 1533-position model. The record is from RNAcentral.